Molecule: long non-coding RNA, 387 nt
Filed under: Equus asinus (donkey)
Lineage: Eukaryota; Metazoa; Chordata; Mammalia; Perissodactyla; Equidae
Description: lncRNA (ENSEASG00005034225.1)
Source: RNAcentral
CCCCCACCCAGUGUGACAUCAGAAAUGUCUCCAGACAGUGCCACAGGUCCCGGGAGGCGGGGCAGGGAAGGAGACAGAGCCCCCGGUUGAGAACCACGGCUUCAGACUAGAACACUUGCCUGGGAAGUCUGCCACCUGCUGCUCAAAGCGACUCAGGAAACGCCUCCUCUGGGAAGCCUGCCCUGAAUGCUUCCUGUGUUUUCCCUGCCCCUGAGUGGAGCCUCUCCUUCCUGGCCUCCCCCCACCUCUUCCAACAAGGUCAGCUCUUCCACAGGGGGGCCUGGGUCUCCCACGUCUGCACCCACAGCUCCCAGCUCAGAGCCUGGCACUCAGAACACGAACAUCGCAAAAACCGAGAAAAUCCAGAACAAGUCAGGAGUGUCCAGG